This 586-nucleotide long non-coding RNA is filed under the name Homo sapiens (human). Its description in RNAcentral is "HSALNT0001028". Lineage: Eukaryota; Metazoa; Chordata; Mammalia; Primates; Hominidae. The record is from RNAcentral.
AGACGUGUGUAAGCUCCCAUACUCCCUUGACUCUGCCAUGGUGCCCAAGGGUCACUCUAGAUGGUGAAGGCUGCAGAUGGGGAAGCCUAAAUCUCAGGCCAUGUGGUGAAGAAACGAAUCAAGGGAGUGGGUGCUACACCCAGAGAAAAACCAAAUGGAUUGGGGGCGUCUCAGGAUAGCAGCUCAGACAAAGGUGUGGUAUCCAGAGUAGCCCAGAUAGAGGCCGGACAGAGCAGCCCAGGGAAAAGAGCCUUCCUGUGUGACGCUCUCGCUGAAGCUGGACAUCUCGAGGGCCUUGAGAGCAAAGCAAAUCACAUGACAAGGCAGUCACAUGACUAGGAAAACAGAGGGAAACAUAAGGAUGAGACAACAAAGAAAUUUAGAAAUGAGGAUUACACCUCCCAAGGAAGGGUGGCGUGGCAAUUGGAACAUGGAGCUGAAGAGAUGAAGCCCUCACCACAUUUUCAGAGCAUUUCAAGGCCACAAGGCCCCCCGCCCAGCAUGCACAGCAGAGCACAGAAACACAUUAGGCACAGACCCAGCCAGCAAGCAGGAGGCUCCUGGGUUCUUCCCCAAGUGGGCUAGU